This 76-nucleotide transfer RNA is filed under the name Pelomonas sp. HMWF004. RNAcentral describes it as "tRNA-Asp". The record is from RNAcentral. Lineage: Bacteria; Pseudomonadati; Pseudomonadota; Betaproteobacteria; Burkholderiales; Sphaerotilaceae.
GUCGCCAUAGCUCAACUGGGAGCUCGCCGGUCUGUCGAACCGAAGGUCUCGGGAUUGGUACCCGCUGGCGGCGCUA